AAAGGUGGCUGGAAAUGGAAGAUGAGAGGAUCCUGGACAACCUGGGGGCAGAGGGACUUCAUGGCUGGGAGUGGGAGUGGAGGAGAAGGUGGCAUUUUGGUGGAUAGGUGGAGGAAGAGCAUAGGCACAGAUGGCCACGUGGAGUGUGGUCCACAGAUAAGUCACCUGGUGGAGUGCAGCCACAGUGCCUGAGUCAGGAGGUCUCCGCUCUUGUUUCAGGAACACAGUCAUCCCUAAGAAAUGGAUUGGGUGACAAGUGGUCUGCAUGCUGCACAUGGGCACUGGGGCAAAUGGGACAAACAAAACAGUCAAAGAGGAGAGCAGGGAGAGAAGACAGAUUCAGUGUUGCCCUCGGCAGAUGCAGAGGAAACGAGCUCAAAACCCUUUCACAUGUGCCGGGCGCAAGCGACGCUGCCCAGAAACCCCGCGCCAACCCCUGCAGCCGAGGAAUUGGAGCUUCUGUGUUACUCAAAACAAUGCAUCUGUCUUUCAUUACACUUGGAUUUAGAUGAAAUCGGGGCGCUUGUUGGCAAACCAGUGAAGAUUUCAAAUAAGAGAAAUUGUAUUAUAUUAGAAUCAUAACGUUUUAAAAAUAAUUCUGUAUUGAAGGAAGUUUUUAAAGAAUGGCUAAUGGUGCCUUACAUGCAAUGAAGCCCUUUCAUUCAUUCUUUCCCCCUGUCCCCCCAUUCUCAUCUUCACUGUCCUAAAUGAGGCCUCCCUGGCCCCUUGCCUGGGCCGUCACAGAGGCCUCUGAGUGAUGUUUCUCCUCCCAGCUUUCCCCUUUCUGCCAGGCUCCCUCCCUCCAGUUAGCUUCCCGAAGCCUGGACAGGGUGAACCGUCUUGAAGGCUUGAAUUUGAGCCCCCUCCUUGCUCACCCCACGCUGGGCCAGCACCUCUCCCCUGGGUUACCCUAGUGCGCUGUGCUUACCCGGAUCUCAACACUUAUCACAAGGAUGGAGGUUUGUGGUCAUUUCCCCUUUUUCCCCCUGAGACAGGGGUCUCCACAGGGGUGGGACUUUGACCUCUUUAUGGGUGUAUUCUUGGUACUGGUUCCUCCAGGCAACCAAUAAAUAUCCACUGGCUGAUGGGAUGAGUGAUGUCACUCCCCAUCCGCUGUUCCUCACUGAGAUUUG
This 1133-nucleotide non-coding RNA is filed under the name Pan troglodytes (chimpanzee). The record is from RNAcentral. Lineage: Eukaryota; Metazoa; Chordata; Mammalia; Primates; Hominidae.